This 253-nucleotide ribosomal RNA is filed under the name uncultured bacterium. RNAcentral's name for it is "partial 16S ribosomal RNA". It matches the Rfam family "Bacterial small subunit ribosomal RNA", at positions 524 to 776 of the family's 1533-position model. The record is from RNAcentral.
UACGAAGGGUGCGAGCGUUGCUCGGAAUUAUUGGGCGUAAAGGGCAGGUAGGUGGUCUCAUUUGUCUAGGGUGAAAGCCUUGAGCUUAACUCAAGAAGUGCCCUAGAAACGGUGGGACUCGAGUUCCAGAGAGGUGAGUGGAAUUCCCGGCGUAGCGGUGAAAUGCGUAGAUAUCGGGAGGAACACCAAUGGCGAAGGCAGCUUGCUGGGACGGUACUGACGCUGAGGCGCGAAAGCGUGGGGAGCAAACAGG